UUGAACUCCAAAGGGAGUUCUUCUAACAUUUGAACUACGUAUUUGUUGCAUCUUGAGGGGGACAGGAAACAACCUUGUGGGACUCUUUUGUAAUAAUAUUGUCGGCCUCUAAAUGUAAAUGCAAGUUUGUACCAGCAUUUUUCAGCCAAUGGGACGGAGUGAAAGCAGUUUGCUAUGUCAAUCACACUAAAGUACUUUGCUCCUCCUGCUAUGGCAGCAAUAACCUGUGGAUAACUGGCUACCACUGGAGCUACAGCUGGAGUGACGCUGUUUAAGGCCCGAAAGUCUACUACUAACCUGUACAUCCAAGAAAGAAGGGAUACGGUAUCCUAAUGCCAGUUUUAGGGCAUGGUACUCCAUUAUUACAAUAAAUAAAUGGGAGACCUUGAUCAAUCAUUGUUGGUGUGACCACUUCAUAUCUACAUCUUCUUACUAGCAAGUAUUCUUUCCCACAAUCCAGAGACUGACUUGCCAAGGGAGGCCAGAGAUGAAGAGACCCAGGAGGAGCAUAAGGAGUUUCAGGCCACCCACGAAGAAGACAACACUCUGAGGGCCUUACGUGAGAGCAUGGUGAGCAAAGACCACACCUGGGCAGGACACUAAGGGGCCCAAUGCAGCCAGCCCACAGCAUGAUGGCCCACACCAUGGGGACUCGCAGAAGAUGGUGAGACUAUUCUGGAACUGGACCACAGUUUGCCCAUCACCCAGACCUCCCAACUAAGGGGUCUACUUAAGACAUUCUCUCAGUGCCUGGGAUGGACAUCGGUCCUAGCCCACGCCAUACCUACUCAACCCAGGUGAUUGACCCGGGCAGUCUGAACUUUGGAGACUUCUUCUGUGAAAGCAGUGGGAGAUGGUGGUGUGGGAGAUCAAAGAGAUGUUGUGCCUUAAAACAAUCAAGCCCUUUUAUAGCAUUUGGCAGAACUAUAUCAUCCCGGUCCCCAAGCCUGAUGGAAGCAUCAGGUUAUCUUUAGAUUAUUGAGUGGUCAGUAAAAUUGCACAAUUUUAUGCCUUUAAUAUGCCCUGGGCUGACGUGCUCAUUGACCAGUUGGGCAUGGCUCUCUACCUCUACACACUGACCUGACCAAGGGCUACUGGCAGGUUCCAUGGUCCCCAAAGACUGAGAAAAGACAGCUUUUACCAUCCCUGAAGGAUUCUUCCAAUUCAAGGUCAUGCCAUUCAGCCUUUAUGGGGUGGCAGCUAUCUCUCAACAGAUAGUUGAUAAAAUAUUGGCCCAGUGUGAAUGCACCUUGGUGUACAUAGAUAAUAUAAUCUUCUUUGGUCCUGACUGGCAAACUCACCUCCAACAUCUACAUAAUGUGCUCCAAUACCUAAAUUGGGAUAGUCCAAAGAUCAACCCAGGGAAAAGUAAGAUCAGAUUCCAGGAAUUAAGGUACUUGGGAUACUUCUUGGAAAAGGGGCAACAGUGACUCCUUUAAGAAAAAAAUAGCAACCCUUGAGCAGAGUCCCCUGCCAUCCCCCAAGAAGCAAAUCCAAUGGUUCUUAGGACUCAUGGGGUAUUAUAUUAAGAUCGUACUACACUUCAGUGGUCUGGCUAACCUAAUACUAUGGUGUGUGUGGACCCCAAGUGCCAACAAGUGUUUCUGGAUCUCAAAGCUGCACUGCCUAAUGCUCCUGUCCUCAGAAAUCCUGACUUCAACAUACUCUUUAUACUAGUCCAAAUAGACACCUUGGGAACCAGGUUGAGUGCUGUCCCCGCUCAAGAUGUAGAAGGUGAAGAACUGCUGAUUCUUUUCCUGAACUGAAAGCUGCAGGCCACAGAGCACAAUUAUAUGACAGUGGAGAAGGAGGCCCUGGUCAUCAGGUGGUCUGUUGAGGCCUUUUAUAUUACCUAACUAACAACCCCUGUAAAUUGUUCAUGAACCAUGCUCCUCUGUUCUGGAUGUCCAGAAUAAAAAUGAUGGUAGAAUGGUGGAUAUGACACAUUUCUAGUUAAUUUUACAAUGGACAAAUAACCUAGGAAUUUCAUGGGUUCUCCAAUGCAAAUAUCAGAAACAUUUCACAACAUUAUUUGUAAGCCAAUUUGGUGUAGUGGUUAAGAGUGCAGGACUCUAAUCUGGAGAACUGGGUUUGAUUCCUCACUUCUCCACUUGAAGCCCCCUGGGUGACCUUGGGUCAGUCACAGCUUCUAGCUCUCUCAGCCCCAUCCAUCUCACAGGGUGUUUUGUUGUGGGGAUAAUAAUAACAUAGUUUGUAAACUGCUCUGAGUGGGUGUUAAAUCAUCCUGGAGGGCAGUAUACAAAAUGAAUGUUGUUGUUGUUGUUGUUGUUAAGGGAAAUUUGUAUUCAAAUUUGAUUGUCAAAUUUGACGGGCCCCUAUUUGACAAGCGUGGUUGAGUGCCUAUCAUGAAGGCAGUGAAAUGGGCAACCCUGCAGAGGGCUUUUUUACAUACUUGAGACAUCCUAUAUAUUUAAAAAUCAUCAUUAUAAAAGCCCCCUCCCGCCUGCUCAUGUCCUGAUGAGGACUGAGCAUGCUCAUUGAGCACUGUAGGUUUGCUAACUCAGGACUUGGAAAUUCUUGGAGAUUUAGGGAUGGAGCCUGGGGAGGACAGUGUCUGGGAAGGGGGGCUCAGAAGGGCACAAUGGCAUCAAGUCCACUCUCCAAAGAUGCCAUUUUCUCCAGAGUAACUGAAGAUCAGUGGUAAUUCCAGGAGGUCUCCAGCCCCCACUUGGAGGUUGGCAGUGUUAAUGUUGAGUCCGAUAAAGCUCCCACAAGCUUACAGUAUCCUGAAGAAGAAGAUUUCAUUCAGGGAAUGAAAAAAAAUCCCAAUCCUUUCGCGCCUUGUCAUGAUUUUUCAAAGGACCUUCGCUCAUUCGUUCUAGUAAAAGCAUGUGGAAAAGGAAUGAUUGCUUAAGUUGGUGGUAUAUUAAAAUGUUUUCUGCUGCUUUGUUGCUGAAAAACAGAAGAAAAUCAUGAGAUGUAUAAUUAGAAGAAGGGACCAGUCUCCAUGCCUACUGUCAGGCUCUACCAGUUAGAUCCUUCUUUGCUUAGCUGUGUGAGUUGCACUGUUCUUGUCCCUGCAGUUAGAGGAGAGAAGGCUCCCCUUUGUCAUUUGUGUCUUGAGAUGGAGUACCUGUGGAUGCUUGUAAGAGUUCUGAGUCCAGCAGUGCUAAAUAUCCACUUGUUUGUUCUGUAUCUUGGCUGUUUAGGAUAAGUCUUCCCUUCUACCAUGUAUGGCAUGAGAAAUGCCUGAUGUUCAAGCUGGAUUUAUAAAAGUUAGAGGCACGAGAGAUCAUUUUGUAAAUUUACAUUGCUCACUGGACCAUACUAGAGAAUUUCAGAAGAAAAUCCAUUUGUGUUUUAUGGAUUUCAGCCAGUGCUUUCUGCUAAAAGUAAGCAGAAAUCCUCUUGCUUUUCCUCUCUUCCCAUGUGCUCUGGGUGGCUGCGUACCUGCACUCCUAGAGAGGGUAAAAGCAGGAGAAAGGGGGCUGUGGUUUAUAAUCCCUCCUAGAGCACAGGAGGAGAGAGGGAGGUGGGUGAGCAGCUGGGAGGGGAGAAGGUUGCUGGUGGCCAAGUGGAGGGCUGAGAGGGAAUCCUUCCUCUCUCCCAUCCCCCAGCAAGCCCACGUUCCUCUGCCUUUGAAACUAUUGUUCCCAGGUACUGCACCACCAAACACCCAUGCCCAGGUUCUCAUUGAGCUUGACUCAUAGAAGUUCCAUUGUGAGAAGUAGUCCAGUGUUUGUGUGCCCGUUCUCUCCCUUUGGGUUAUGUUAGAGUGAGAGUUGUGAUGAGUUGCCCCAGUUUUGGGAAUCAUCCCAAUUCUUCUUCCCAUCGAGCUUCUUUAUUAGAGAUCCAUCAGUAUCAGGGCACUCAGACAGCAGCAUUGGCAGAAGUGACGUAAAGGGGGAAAGCAAUGUUAGUUAUAGGGCAGGGUUGACACAACACCUGAUUGUGUCUUUGGAGGAAAUCAAAGAGAACAAGGAACUUCAGAGAAUUUUUUUCCUUAGAAAAACAUAUUGGAAAACCUUCUUUUAUUUUAAAAAUUUAUUGUGCUUGCAAU
Long non-coding RNA from Eublepharis macularius, 4021 nucleotides. RefSeq lists it as uncharacterized. The record is from RefSeq and is a predicted model, not a curated record. Lineage: Eukaryota; Metazoa; Chordata; Lepidosauria; Squamata; Eublepharidae. The transcript has 4 exons.